Molecule: long non-coding RNA, 4786 nt
Filed under: Triticum aestivum (bread wheat)
Lineage: Eukaryota; Viridiplantae; Streptophyta; Magnoliopsida; Poales; Poaceae
Description: long non-coding RNA (TAES_LNC010263)
Source: RNAcentral
UUUCGUCCGUAACUCAACGCUCCGGACGAAUUUGAAGGUGAAUCCAAUUGGGUUGGAAAGAGCACGAAAUCUAGUUUCCAACAAAAAAAGAAUCACCCAAUUCGAAGUCCGUAUGAAAAAGUUGUUGGCGUUUUGAGUCAGGUAUGUCUGUGCAGUCCGAAUCUGAAUCCAAAACGUGAGAGACUUGGACUCUAUCUUCUCUUGGCCCAAAAAUGACGUGAGAGGACUUUUUGAACACAACCUAAACUUCUCCUUUUCCCUUAUCUUCAUAUGUGGAUUGUACAAAUGUCCCAUACACCUGCAAUUAGACAAAACACAAAAGUGUGUGAAGUAUUUUUGUUCUGGAUAACAUAAAUAGAUUAUUGAAUAGUUUGCAUUAGAAAUCACCUGACAAAUAUGCAUGUAUGCAAUAUUUUUGGUCGUAUCCAAGGUAUUCAUGUCCUCAUCAUCCUCCCCUUUUUGAAAACAAAGCCGUCCUCGGCGUUGCUUAAUCUGAAAUGUGGCUAACAAAAGAGACAAGGUGUACAUGUUGUAUAUGUAUAUGUCAUCCAGUUUAACUUCCCUUGAUUUUUGCACGUAUGACACAUGUAUACACGAGUAACUUUCAUAGUUCAUAAAAACUAAAGCCAAAAAAUUAUCACAAGAAGUAGAAGGCAUGAAAAUAUUAGAACUCAGUUUGCACAUAUAAGUGAAGCUCUUAUUCAUUUCAAAAGAUUCGCAAUGUUCAUCCUUAAACCAUCCCAACUUUGGUGAAUAAACCUUACUUGCAUCAAAUUUACAUGCUACGACAUGCUUAAAUAAGCAAACAUGCAAUAAGUCAUUGGACACAGAAUCAUCACCAAGAUUGGAGGCCAUAUCAAAAUGAUUAAACAUUAGUUCUUUUGCAUCAACAGUUAAUUCAAUGGGUGCACUCAAAAUUGUUGAUAUUUCAGUUGUUUGAUCACUCUCUAAAAUAGGUGGUGUGCUCAAAUCAACAGGUAACUCAAUACAUGACGCAUUCAAGUUAACUAGGAAUGCAUCUUUCUCAUGUGAAGUUAUAUCAUCAAUAUCUUUACUGUUACCUUGUGGCAAAGAUGUAGCUGAUGUAGGUACGGACGUUGACAAUGUACCAUACCCUUGAGAUGAUGCCGCGCUCAUAAUCCGAGGUGCAAUGAUGGAGGAACCCACCGGCGGUGGUGAGCAUGAACUGGAAUAGUAGUUAUUGUAGUCACCUAAUGCAUCCUCCUGUAUCUGUCUCUCAAAGGUACAAGCACGGACAUACAUACCAGUAAUGCAACGAGGAAUAUACUGAAAUCUUGCCUGAAUAUCAUGGUUCAAACCACCAAAAAAUCUAUUCAUUGUAUCAUUCUCAGAUUCUUUUAUGUCACAAUGAUGCAUAUAAGAUUUGAACUCUUGGUAGUAAGCAUGAACAGUGUUGUUGCCUUGUUUAAAUUGUUCAAAUUUGCGAAGCAAUUCACGACGAUAAUAAGGAGGGAAAAAUUGUUGUCUCAUUACAGCUUUCAAAACAUUCCAAGUUGUGGGUUGGUUAUCAAUGUUUUUCUUACAAUGUACACUCCACCAAACAGAAGCAAAACCAGUAAAUGCUCUAAUGGUAGCUCGUACUCUCUCAAGUUCAGAAAAAUCAUGGUGACUAAAAACUUGUUCUACUUCAAGCUCCCAAGCUAGAUAAAUAGCAGGAUUAAAUCUAUCCUCAAAUGAUGGUAAAGAGAUAACCUGACCAUAUGCUUGUGUGUGUUGUCCCAACUCUCGUGAUGGUGACGAUGUGUCCGUCAUCCAAGAACUUCUAUCUCUGCAACCUGUCAUGAUUAGUAGAAACAAGAACCAAAAUUCGAGAAUAAUGUUCCUAUGAACUACUAGGAUGUGGUUGUAAAGUGCUCACAGUAAAGCAAAUAUCAAUAUCUUACAAGUUCUUACCAUGCGGCAGGUGGUGACAGGCAACCAGCGGUGUCAAAUAACUCCGAAGAUUGUGUAAAACGAUUGCCAGGGGAACGUACGUAUACACGGUGUAGAAAUAUGUGGAGCUGGGUUGGCUAUAUAUGGUAGCAAAAGAUUAGCAAUAAUCAAUUCAGAGAUGCAAUGUUGAAUAAACGCUCAACGACGGUACUGUGCUGGUCCUAGGCUAGACCAAACUAGAGACGCGAGCCUAGAACACUAAUGAGGUCACGUCGUAGCACAACUAGCAUUAAUAAAGGAUAUGAAGUAGCUCUGGACAGCAAGAUAUAAGUGAAGAUCACAAUAGCAGUAGACCUAUUUAGAAGCUGAUGUUGAGGUGCCAAAUACUGAGCUAGCUUCUACAACUAUUUAGAUGUGGCUCGUCGCUAGCUUUCAUUUGAGUACUCGCGGAGCCAAAACAGACUUCAUAUGAGGAAGUUAUGCCUGUUUUACUGAACAGUGCACAAAACAGAUUCCAAUCCGAAUUCAACUACGAGAUUGAGUCUAGAUAGAUCCGAAUUUUGUUUUUUUUCUCCUCUCUUUUUUUUCUCACACUUUUUUUUUCUUUUCCUUUCUUUUUUUUCUCUGACUUUUUUUUUUACUUUUUUUCUCUUGUUUUUUUCUCUAUCUUUUUUUUCUCUCUCCCUCUUUCCAAAACAAACUAGAUAAGAUGUAGAUUGGAUCAAGCGAAGAUGGGAACGAUCUCAACUAUGAUUAUGACAAUGAACUGUGGGUAGCACGUGGAGGAAAUUGAUGGAUGGGUGGUGGACAGCGGAAGGGAUAAUGAUGCAACGGCGACGUGACUAAUGUGAACAGAACUCGAAACUCUAAACGACCUAGACACUAAGACCAGCAACUCGACACGACGAUUGCAACCGAUAAUUCAACUAUGCAAGCAAUGAAAAGAAAAUUGCAAAGGCUCAGACUGGCUUGGACCAAGGAUAAAUAGAUCUAACUCUUUUUUGUGGCUUUUUCUUGGACAAUAGGUAAGAAAAUAAAUCUAAUCUAGGAAAACUGGAAAUUCUCACCGAGCAACCUGAAAACUGAUACCACUUGAUAGAGGCGAGGGUGUCCCGAUCUUUCGAUGAGAUGAUAACUAUCGAUUUGGUGGAGACGACUUUGACGAUCCGACUACAAACGUGCACGAUGUUGCGCCUUAGCAAUCGCUAAACCAAUCUCCUGAGGUUACUGACGAUGCCGGAAGCACAGUCAGCCUGACCACGAAGGUCUAUUCCUACAAGCAAUCGAAGAACGAGCAAGAAUAUGAUAAAGCAAUCUGAAUAUUGCAAAUAUAUAUGAGGUAUUGAUAAUGGUGGGGAUCCGUAAGCGGUCUUGGUCUGGUCGUUGGACACAAACGAAGUACACGAAGUUGCAAUGGCUAACUUUUAACUAAACAAAUCCCAAGGAAAAAGCUACUAGAUGGAUCUACUUAUAUAGGAGUAAGGGGUGGCGGCCAAGGAGGUGGGAGGACGUCCCAAGGCAGCCUAAAACUAACCCUAGGUCGUACAAGGCUCAUGGGCCCAAGUGGAGGUGAUGCAACACCUUUGGGCUUGUAGUUUGACUCGGAUUCUGCUGCAAUGUCAGAUUGUUUCGUCCGUAACUCAACGCUCCGGACGAAUUUGAAGGUGAAUCCAAUUGGGUUGGAAAGAGCACGAAAUCUAGUUUCCAACAAAAAAAGAAUCACCCAAUUCGGAGUCCGUAUGAAAAAGUUGUUGGUGUUUUGAGUCAGGUAUGUCUGUGCAGUCCGAAUCUGAAUCCAAAACGUGAGAGACUUGGACUCUAUCUUCUCUUGGCCCAAAAGUGACGUGAGAGGACUUUUUGAACACAACCUAAACUUCUCCUUUUCCCUUAUCUUCAUAUGUGGAUUGUACAAAUGUCCCAUACACCUGCAAUUAGACAAAACACAAAAGUGUGUGAAGUAUUUUUGUUCUGGAUAACAUAAAUAGAUUAUUGAAUAGUUUGCAUUAGAAAUCACCUGACAAAUAUGCAUGUAUGCAAUAUUUUUGGUCGUAUCCAAGGUAUUCAUGUCCUCAUCACUUGUAAGUUCCCACUUGAUAAAGCAAAGAGGACCACAACACAAGCAUCAGAAAAGGAGGCCUGUUGCAAUUCAUAUCCAAGCUUAACAAAACAUGAAAACCUAUGAGAUCUAAGGGAGUACCUCUACAUGAGUAAAAGAGACCAGGUAGCAAAGAAAACAAACAUCCCUAAAUAACAGAUCAAAAAUGAAAAUGUAACAAGCUACCAGUUAAAAAACAAGCUAUUUAGAAAUUUGGAGGAUUUUAAAGCCCCAACUUCAUAAUGUUCAAAACAUCAUACGGUUCAUUGACUGAAGCAUCAUUUAGUCUCUUUCAUCAUACGAUACAAUUUCCACCUCCCUAUCAUCUCACAGGCAUCUGUUGCUUACGUUAUUUGUAGUAGUUCUGUUAAUGGAUUUACCCUGAUUUUGUCCAUGAGAACACUGUAUCCUAGAUUGCUCCUUCAAUUUGUUCAAGAUAAAUGAUACAGACUUGACAGAACCAUGAAUGAUAAAAUAAUCAUAAGUUUUACUUCGGUCGAAAUAAGCAACUACUCGAGUGUAUAUAACUUGCUUGAAAGUAUGGUGAUCUCUAAAUAUGUAAGAUCAAUCUGCAUAUUCCGAAGUUACCCUGUUUCAAGAAGUGCGAACCAACUGUUUGUUUCAUACAGUUGUGUUCCUGUGAGGAUAUUAUAACUUUUGAAAUUCUUCUUCACAUAUAUGAAGUGCAUGAAGACGCUCUGAAGAGUGCAACCACCAACGAAGCCUCUAGCCUGAGUUCACUUCCUGAGAAGAAAAGAGAAGUCUAGUCAAAUAGAGAAGUCUUAGAUAGUGCAGCAU